AGGAUCAUUAGUGAACGCCCUCACGGGCUUAUAACUAUUCCAAACCUCUGUGAACUGUGCCCUUCGGGGCUAUUUUACAAACAUGGUGUAAUGAACGUCAUAUAUCAUAACAAAACAAAACUUUCAACAACGGAUCUCUUGGCUCUCGCAUCGAUGAAGAACGCAGCGAAAUGCGAUAAGUAAUGUGAAUUGCAGAAUUCAGUGAAUCAUCGAAUCUUUGAACGCACCUUGCGCCCUCUGGUAUUCCGGAGGGCAUGCCUGUUUGAGUGUCAUGUAGACUCAAUCCCUCGGGUUUCCGAGGAGAUUGGACUUGGGUGUUGCCGCUCUGCCGGCUCGCCUUAAAAGACUUAGCGGGAUAGCACCGUAGUCGGCGUAAUAAGUUUCGUCGGUGAAGGUUGUGAUGACUGCUUACAAUCGCCCUCGGGCAAUUUUUGACUCUGACCUCAAAUCAGGUAGGACUACCCGCUGAACUUAAGCAUAUCAAUAAGCGGAGGAAAAGAAACUAACAAGGAUUCCCCUAGUAGCGGCGAGCGAAGCGGGAAGAGCUCAAAUUUGAAAGCUGGCGUCCUUCGGGCGUCCGCAUUGUAAUCUAUAGAGGCGUUUUCUGUGCUGGACCGUGUCCAAGUCCCUUGGAACAGGGUAUCAAAGAGGGUGACAAUCCCGUACUUGACACGACAACCAGUGCUCUGUGAUACGUCUU
RNAcentral lists this ribosomal RNA (700 nucleotides) under uncultured Basidiomycota. RNAcentral describes it as "eukaryotic LSU rRNA". The stretch from base 439 to 700 matches the Rfam family "Eukaryotic large subunit ribosomal RNA", at positions 1 to 257 of the family's 3401-position model. The record is from RNAcentral. Lineage: Eukaryota; Fungi; Basidiomycota.